RNA transcript from Syngnathus typhle (broad-nosed pipefish), 3220 nucleotides. It is a transcript of the gene named glycerophosphodiester phosphodiesterase domain containing 5b, with no coding region annotated. The record is from RefSeq and is a predicted model, not a curated record. NCBI's taxonomy places the organism in Eukaryota, Metazoa, Chordata, Actinopteri, Syngnathiformes, Syngnathidae. The transcript has 17 exons.
GGUGACGCUCUUCGCUGGAGGAGAGCAGCUGAUAAAAAGCACCCACACCCCUCCUACGUUUUAGUGCUUUGAAUUAUUUGGCCAGGCGUACGACUCGGCUCCUACGCCGAGGAGCAAGGAGGAGAUUUGCAGGGGGAAGCUGGAAGCGCGUGAAAGAAAUUCGCUAUUAUAAGCAAAAAGGAAAAAAAAAAACGUAAGCGCUAGUGUUUCUCUUUUGCCUUUUUGGGGAGGGGACGUCCGGCUGUCAAACUUGGCAUUUUUGCCAGCCAACCACCGAUCAAAAAAAUAAUAAUAAUAAAAAUCAGCACCUCCAAUUAUUUGGUAUCUCGCCGGUAAAAAGAAACGUCAAAUUCCUCUUUGACCUGGAAGAAAAGUGGUCGCACUGCGCGGACAGUGUCCUUCUGGUCCGUGGGAUGUUUGACUUGAGGAAGCAGGACUGACAGAAGGAGCAUGGUCAGACACCAACCCCUCCAAGUCUAUGAGCGCCAGCUGUGUUUGUCUUGUAUCACCGGGAUCUACGGUUGCCGCUGGAAACGUUAUCAACGCUCUCACGAUGACACCACCAAGUGGGAACUGCUGUGGUCCCUCAUCCUGCUUUUCACCUUCAGCGCUCUGCUGGUCUGGUUCUACUUCUGGUUGGAAGCUCACAAUGACUACAAUGAGUUUAACUGGUCCCUCUACAAUCGCUCUGGCAAGUGGAGCGAUGGCACCGUUCCAGUCUUGGCCACAACCGCCGCUGGCUUCACCUACAUAGCCUUUUUAAUGGUUUUAGCCCUUUGUCACGUUGCACUUGGCCAACAGCUGAAUUUGCAUUGGUUGCAUAAGAUAGGAGUCACUGCGGCCCUUCUCACAACUGUUGUCGGGGUGAUAUCCAUCAAUCAAACUUGGCAACACGAGUGGGACAUCAUCCCCAUCUCUCUGCAGGCCACAGGCCCGUUCCUGCACAUCGGUGCCGUCGCUGCUGUCACAGCUCUGUCUUGGAUAGUGGCCGGGCAGGUCGCUCGUGCAGAAAAAACAUCGUUCCAGGUUGUGGUGGUGCUCCUGUAUCUCAGUUUGUUGCUGGGUCUAUACGUGAUGCCGCUGUACAUCACCUCGCCUUGCAUCAUGGACCCCAGCAACCUCAGGCCCCGUCCAAAUGUUAUUGGUCACCAAGGUGCCCCCAUGCUUGCGCCAGAAAACACAAUGCGGUCCUUUCAGCGAGCACUCCAAAUGAACGUCACUGGAUUGGAGGCAGACGUUGCAAUCAGUGUUGACGGUGUCCCAUUCCUGAUGCGCGACCGCACCCUGCGCAGGACGACCGACGUAGUGAAAAUGUUCCCAGACAGGCAGAUGGAGGACGCCGCGUUCUUCAACUGGACCGAUCUGCAGCAGCUCAACGCAGGACAGUGGUUCCUCAAGGAUGACCCCUUCUGGACGACACGCACUCUAUCGCUCCACGAAAGGAACCUGAUAGCCAACCAGAGUGUGUGCAGCCUUGAACAACUGCUAAAACUGGCCUCUUAUCAUAACACCACUGUGAUGUUCAGACUCAGGAGACCCCCUCUGGGGCACCCUUGUUACCAUAGCUGGAUCAAUGACACUUUGCAGGCUGUGGAGCAAUCUGGGGUUCCUCAAAGUCUGGUAAUGUGGACUCCAGACGAAGACAGAGAUCAGGUAAGAGAGCUUGCACCCGAUCUGGUCCAGACGUCUUUAGUGAAGCAAAGUCCUCAAAGCCUCAGAGAGGCGGACAUCAGCAAGCUGGUACUCCGAUACAACCAGGCAAGCGCUCAGGAAAUCAGGGACUUGUCACAGAAAAACAUCAGCCUUACCCUCUACACGGUGAAUGAGCCCUGGCUGUACUCAGUGCUGUGGUGCAGCCACGUGUCGGCUGUGUCGUCUGAGGCACCGCAUAUCCUCAAAAAGGUGCCUUACCCCAUCUGGCUCCUGAGACCAGAUGAAUACUGCCUGUUGUGGGUGUGUGCAGACCUUAUCUCCUUUGUGGUGGUCAUAGGAAUAUUCAUUUUGCAGAAGUAUCGCUCCAGCAACAUGCGCAGCUACAACCCUGAGCAGAUCAUGCUUAGCGCCGCGGUGAGGAAGUCCAGUCGGGACCUCAACGUCAUGAAAGAGAAGCUCAUCUUCUCCGGUCAAGCCCAGUAGUGGUCUCAGGCCAGGUCUGCGCCCUCAUCCUUUUUUAUUCCGCGUCUGCCUCGCUACCUGCUGUCCUUUGUCUGCAUCCGCCAUCCCUCCAUGCAAUCCGCCUUCCACCUCCCCCCACCUCCCCUCCCAACUCCGCCAUGCUUGGGAAGCUUGUAUGACCCCUGGUUUGUCUUAUACUGGGGCAAUUUGAGAGGUGGGGAAUGGCGUCGGGAGCGGCGAGGAGCUCUACACGGAUGGCCCCAAUGGCUAUGACUACUACACGGAAAGAGGUGGGAGUUAAUGAUGGAGGAACUGCUUGCUUUGUGUACAUUUUGUAAAAUAAACUUCGGCUCAACGGAUGCUAUUUGGACUCAGCACUUUUCAAGCCAUGGAAGGUCUCUGGCUUAUUUGUCAUUUUUAAUAGGAGAGGUCCAUAUUCUUCAUUUCAAGCUCAUUCUCCCAAAAAGGAGUUCAAUUUUAAGCACUGAUACCUGUUUUUAAUAUAUAUAUAUAUAUAUAUAUUAUACCAUAUACAUACACAUAUAUAUAUAUGAACUGUAUUUCAGCAUGAAAAAUGCUUCCAGCUCAUUUUCUUGCUCUGGUGUGUUUUGUGAUUUCUAUCUAAAGUGUUUCACAGUGUAAAUGCUUUGUAAGGAAGUCCUGCGGGUGCGUGAAACAGUUAUGAUCAUAGAAGAUGUAUGUGAGCUGUACAGUCGGGAUGAAACGGGACACAAAACUGUUACUCCUCUCUUCAAACCACUUCCAGUAUGUAUCCCGAUUGGUUUUGUGUGUGUGUGUGUGUGUGUGUAAACAUGUGUUUAGGUUGUGUGACGUGCAUGUGAUGCUUUGCUACGUAAAACACAAAUGUGAGUCAUGUGAUGGACCUUGUUUCACUUGGCUGUAGUCAAGUCUACACUGGGUCUUGUUUACAAACCAAAAGCAUCUUCGUGUCACUUGCUGCUGUAAAAAUAUGAAGUGUGAAUAGAACUAAGUUAACUAAAGGGCCACUAACGGGAGAGCAACUUGCCUUGUGUGUUAAUUUACUCAUUGGAUUGUACUGUGCCUCAGAAGUGAAAUAAAAUUAAAACAACUUCUAGUCAGUCUA